AUGUAUGUACGUAUGUAUGUGUUUGUGUAUGUAUGAAUUUAAGUGUUAAGGUUUGAGCUUUUAAUGUAUAAAAAAUAGAAAAAAAAGAUUUGUUUACGAAGAUAAAAUAUUUGUAUGGAAAUGGGCGGACUGAUUGUGGUGGCCACGUUGGUGAUGACGUAUAGAGAGAGAGAGAGAGAGAGAGAGAGAGAGUGUGUGUGUGAGAGAGAGAAAGAGAAAAAAGUCUGUAGCAAUGAAUAGGAGUUGUAUGAGAGAUAUUAUUCAGGGUGUGGUUACUUGGGACAGGUAGUCUCUGUCUACUCGCUAACACACGCUACAAUAUACACACAUAUACAUUUAAUCAACCAUACAUUCACACUACACGCAUAUAUACACACAUACAUCAUAUACCAUGACAGUAAAACAUUCAUACUUACACAUACACACGUUUAAACAACGAUACACGCACAGGACAAAGUAACACCCACACGUUUAUAAUCUUCUUCCUGGCAUUUCAUAAUUGAGUAGCGACCGUUGCAGAAGUCAAAAACCUAUCUGCUUUCAAGAGACAGAAAAACUUCAGCCUGAAUUCGAAACACUUUCAAUUUGAAGACAUGCCCUCA
Molecule: long non-coding RNA, 602 nt
Organism: Octopus sinensis (East Asian common octopus)
Lineage: Eukaryota; Metazoa; Mollusca; Cephalopoda; Octopoda; Octopodidae
Exons: 3
Source: RefSeq, a predicted model, not a curated record